This is a non-coding RNA of Phrynosoma platyrhinos (Desert horned lizard), 72 nucleotides long. NCBI's taxonomy places the organism in Eukaryota, Metazoa, Chordata, Lepidosauria, Squamata, Phrynosomatidae. The record is from the annotation of a GenBank genome assembly.
GAUUGCAUGGCAUAGUGGUUUCAUUGUUAGAUUAUGACUCUGGAGACCAGGGUUCAAUUUCCUGCUUGACCA